Molecule: long non-coding RNA, 230 nt
Filed under: Bos taurus (domestic cattle)
Lineage: Eukaryota; Metazoa; Chordata; Mammalia; Artiodactyla; Bovidae
Description: long non-coding RNA NONBTAT009001
Source: RNAcentral
GGCUGUUACAUAUGAGCUGAAGAGAACACAGCAAUUAGGCUGCAGAAUUCCUACAAAUAUAUAGUUCAUCCACUCAAGUUAAAAUAUGAUUAAGGAAGGGAAGUGUUUAAUUAAAAUUUAGUAUGAAGGAGGAAACAGGAGAACAACCAUUUCCAGAGUCACUGCACUUGUGUGUGGAAGCAACCCAGAACUAUCAUGGAAUACUGCAGUUCCACCUGCAGGGAAAAUAC